This 253-nucleotide ribosomal RNA is filed under the name uncultured bacterium. RNAcentral describes it as "partial 16S ribosomal RNA". It matches the Rfam family "Bacterial small subunit ribosomal RNA", at positions 524 to 776 of the family's 1533-position model. The record is from RNAcentral.
UACAGAGGGUGCGAGCGUUAAUCGGAAUUACUGGGCGUAAAGCGUGCGUAGACGGCUAUCUAAGUCGGCUGUGAAAGUCAAGGGCUCAACCCUUGGAAGCCGGCCGAUACUGUCGGACUAGAGUCCGGAAGAGGCGAGUGGAAUUCCUGGUGUAGCGGUGAAAUGCGCAGAUAUCAGGAGGAACACCUAUUGCGAAGGCAGCUCGCUGGGACGUAACUGACGCUGAGACGCGAAAGCGUGGGGAGCAAACAGG